RNAcentral lists this ribosomal RNA (378 nucleotides) under Triticum aestivum (bread wheat). Its description in RNAcentral is "partial small subunit ribosomal RNA". The record is from RNAcentral. Lineage: Eukaryota; Viridiplantae; Streptophyta; Magnoliopsida; Poales; Poaceae.
AUGGUGUUGACUGCAAUGGGAUCCUUGGGGUUUACUGCUUCUCUCCAACCUCUGGAGUUGCAGGACUCCAUGAGUGUCGUCAAUGGCCAGAUGGGCGACGGCGGCGCGACCGCACAUCCACGAUUCCAUGGCAUCGCAGAUGACCAGAUGGGCCGCGGUGGCGAGGGCAUAGAGAUGUAUGGGAACACCGGCUUUUGCGGCGUGAUCAGAAGCUAUAAGCGGCUGGACAAGGAGAGUGGAGUUUCAUUGAGAGCUAACCUGCCAAUCGAGAGGCAUGCCAAUAAUGUUUACGUCCGGGUGACUUUUGAUCAAUUUAGCAAAGUUAUGUACAAAGCUGGUGCAUAUGUGCUGGAAGAACUAGAACUGAACAUAUGUUAG